AUGGAAUUUGAGGAGCACGAAGAGCACGAGGAGGAGAUGGAGAUGGAGAUGCAGCCGGCGCCCCCAGGUUACGACUCGGCUGGGGCGAGUUCGAGGGCCAAAAUGGGACCCGCCCUGGAGGGCACCGUCUCCACCGCAAGAAAGAGGGGGCCCACCGCCACCGCGGCAGUCACCAACACCACCACCACCCUCACCACCAUAGUCAGGUACAGAGAAUGCCUCAAGAAUCACGCCGUCAGCAUCGGUGGUCACGCCGUCGACGGCUGCUGCGAGUUCCUGGCUGCCGGGGACGAGGGAACAAUGGACGCGCUCAUAUGCGCCGCCUGCAACUGCCAUCGCAACUUCCACCGCAAGGAGCCCGAGGGCGAGCUGAUUCAUCACCAUCAGGGUGGUACUACUGGGCCCUACCACCAGAGCGGUGGGUCCCACCACCACCUCCUCCAGCACCAAUUUUCCUCGGCCUUCUAUCGCCCACCACCACCGCCAUCUGGCUACCUGAUCACCUCUCCGCACGCAAGGCCCACUCUAACCUUGCCUGCAGCAUCAGGCGGUGGCGGUGGAUCUCAUAGUAGGGACGAUGGUGAGGAUGUCUCGAACCCCAGCUCGAGCGGCGGUGGCGGUGGAGGAGGAGGAGGAGGAUUUGGGAUAAAUAAGAAGAGGCACCGGACCAAGUUCACGCAGGAGCAGAAGGAAAAGAUGCUGGAGUUUGCGGAGAAAGUUGGGUGGAGGAUUCAGAAGCAUGACGAGGCAGCGGUGGAGGAGUUUUGUGGAGAGACUGGAGUGAAGCGACAGGUUCUCAAGGUUUGGAUGCACAACAACAAGCACACCCUCG
Molecule: long non-coding RNA, 832 nt
Filed under: Prunus dulcis (almond)
Lineage: Eukaryota; Viridiplantae; Streptophyta; Magnoliopsida; Rosales; Rosaceae
Description: sRNA ncRNA
Source: RNAcentral